AUGUGCCACUGCAGAGCGGGCCCAGCAGGUGCUCACUGCAUUGAGGAGCAACUCCCCGAGCUGCGCUGCCACGGCUGUUCAUGGGGCAGAGCGGGGACACCAGCAAGGAAGGGGGGCUCCUCAGCAGGCCCCCAUUGCAGGACAACAUGGGGCCAUCGCAGCCAGCACCUCCCGGCAGCAGCUGCUGCUCAGAGGUGGAAGGAGGGCAGGGAGACGGGCCGGGCAGCUGCUCCGUGUCCUGCCACCGCCACAACGUGUCACAGCGGCUGGGGGGGCUCACGCAGCUCCGGGCUGGCAGAUCUGAGCUGCUUCCUCGUGCUGGGCGCUCAGAACGGAGCAGUGCGGGCACAGCAGAAGGGAAGAGGCGCCGGGAGCUGCGCUGUGCCCCCAUUCCCCACCGGGACCGUGGCUGGAGCCCCCAGAAGGGUCUGGAAGGUGCCGGAAGGAGCACGGCGCAUUGCCCGGCCUGCACUGCAGGAAUGUGGGGGCAGCGGGCUGGGAGCACCGCGCCGUGUCGCUGCUCUGGACGCGUGGGACCCGCGGUGGGGCUCAGCUUUCAGAUCCAGCUUUCACCCAACGCUAUUUUUAAUUGCUCUUUCCCAGAAGGACCCACAGCCCCGUUUGCUGCCGGCCGCCCCGAAGCUGCUUCCAGUUGGGCGCCGUCGGUGCCGCUCGGGGCUGUUAUUUUUAGCCGUGCUGGAGGCACCGGCUCCGGGCACGGCUCGGUGGGGCCGAGCAGCUCGUCCCACGGCCCCGGGGGGCAGCGGGGGCGGCGCGGUUUUACGGCCGCCUCGGUGUUUUCUUUCUGGCGCUUUUCGGGUUCCUUUCAUCUCCGCGCUUCACGCUGUGCGGAAAGGAAGACCAAAGGCGGAGGAUGGAAGCGGCGGUCAUCGCCGGAGCCGGGACACGGCGGAACGGCGGCUGCUUUUAAUUAAAAACCAUUCGCUGGCAACGUCGAAAGGCGCCCUCGGUGCUGCGGCCGCGGCAGGGCAGGAGGGGAAGGGAUGGACGGCAGAGCCCGAGCCGGGCACUGCCCCACAGCGCCCCGCAGCCCGGCCCUGCCGUGCCCCAGAACCACCACCCCCGGCCCACACCCCUCCCCACGUGUCUCUAUUCGCCCCAGCACCGAUUUCUGCCCCACGGAGCUCCCUGGGCCCACGGCUCAGCCCCACACAACGGGCCGUACCAGCCGUGCCCGCACUCCCCGCACCGCCCCCAGCUCCGUCCUGA
This 1230-nucleotide long non-coding RNA is filed under the name Coturnix japonica (Japanese quail). RNAcentral's name for it is "lncRNA (ENSCJPG00005012263.1)". The record is from RNAcentral. Lineage: Eukaryota; Metazoa; Chordata; Aves; Galliformes; Phasianidae.